GCGACGUCUAGUGGUGUAAAGUUAUGAUGUAAGUUAGUUGAUGUAAAGUCAAUUGAUUAAACUUACUUUAGGGUGAAUUUCACAAAUUAUUUUAUUAAGGUUAUUUUUAGGAUCACUUAAAAAGGUAAGUGAAAUAGUAAUAAGUUAGGGGUAUUUUAGUAGUUGCGUUGUUUGUCCUUAAAAAGGGGAAUGGAAUGGUUUGCUUUAUAAGGUACUAGCACGGUACUUCUCAUUCCGACAACGACCAUCAGUAGUAGUGGUGGUGACGGUUGGUGGUGGUGCUGGAGUCAAAAAGUGUAGAUAUUUAAAUUUAAGAAGAUAAUUGAGAUACUUCUAAAGAUAAGGAACUAAUGAUGUUAUAUAUUAUUUGUGGACGAUUUAGACAAUUGACAUGUCCAAAAGAAUAAUAUUCAAAAAAGGGGUCAAUAAUCCUUACAAAGUAGUAUAAAUAUAUUCUUUGUA
Molecule: long non-coding RNA, 462 nt
Organism: Erigeron canadensis
Lineage: Eukaryota; Viridiplantae; Streptophyta; Magnoliopsida; Asterales; Asteraceae
Exons: 2
Source: RefSeq, a predicted model, not a curated record